ACAAUGGAGAGUUUGAUCCUGGCUCAGGAUGAACGCUAGCUACAGGCUUAACACAUGCAAGUCGAGGGGAAACGAUAUUGGAAGCUUGCUUCCGAUAGGCGUCGACCGGCGCACGGGUGAGUAACGCGUAUCCAACCUGCCCAUCACUUGGGGAUAACCUUGCGAAAGUAAGACUAAUACCCAAUGAUAUCUCAAGAAGACAUCUGAAUGAGAUUAAAGAUUUAUCGGUGAUGGAUGGGGAUGCGUCUGAUUAGCUUGUUGGCGGGGUAACGGCCCACCAAGGCGACGAUCAGUAGGGGUUCUGAGAGGAAGGUCC
RNAcentral lists this ribosomal RNA (316 nucleotides) under Segatella copri. RNAcentral describes it as "bacterial SSU rRNA". It matches the Rfam family "Bacterial small subunit ribosomal RNA", at positions 1 to 306 of the family's 1533-position model. Lineage: Bacteria; Pseudomonadati; Bacteroidota; Bacteroidia; Bacteroidales; Prevotellaceae. The record is from RNAcentral.